UUUGCAUUUCAUCGUCGGAAAUGUGUCCUUCCUGAAACAAUAUUCCUUCUGCAUACUGUUUAAUCUGGUUUGACAUCUAGCCAACUUGAUUCCUACUGGUGACAAGCUGUCUAACAUCUUUUAAUCCAAUUAUGUGUUUAGAGUAGCCUUUUCCUGAUUUAUAUCUAAGUCAAUUUAAAGUACUUUGUCUUUGUGCUAUUUUUUCAACUCAUUGGUCAAUUGUAGAUGUCUUUCGUCAAUCAUUGUCUUGAAAAGUGCACUUCUGGUUU
Molecule: long non-coding RNA, 269 nt
Filed under: Mytilus galloprovincialis (Mediterranean mussel)
Lineage: Eukaryota; Metazoa; Mollusca; Bivalvia; Mytilida; Mytilidae
Source: RNAcentral